GUUUUAUGAUUCCAUUCUCCAAAACGUUCAGACUUUUCAAAAAGUCUUGCAAAAUCUUCUAGUGGUUGUAAUUUCUUGAAGAAAGUGUGUUUAGGAUCCAUUGACAGCCACCAACCUUGGACGAAUAAGGAGGAAUCAAUUCACACGAUAGAGCCGAUUUGUCAGGUUUAUGGUUUCCUCGCAUCGAUUCCAAUGUUACCGGUUUGUCCUCGUUUAUUCCAUGGCGAUGCAACCAGGAUCUGAGUACUCGUCAGAAGUGCACAUUAUCACGUUUGAGGGCUUUAUUCAACGCACGCUUUAGAUAUAAUUGAAUAUCUGACGCAAAUUGGAUAUUAAUUUACAUUUCAUCGGCCAGAAAAAAAAAGAAGAUGAGAGCACUCCUGAUCGUCACUUCCUGAUCUCAUCUGUCACGAGCUACCACCAAGAAAAAACCAAUCCAUGGCUCCAAAGUGAAUCAAAAAUGA
Molecule: long non-coding RNA, 464 nt
Organism: Actinia tenebrosa (Australian red waratah sea anemone)
Lineage: Eukaryota; Metazoa; Cnidaria; Anthozoa; Actiniaria; Actiniidae
Source: RefSeq, a predicted model, not a curated record